CCUACGGGGGGCAGCAGUGGGGAAUAUUGGACAAUGGGGGGAACCCUGAUCCAGCCAUGCCGCGUGUGUGAAGAAGGCCCUCGGGUUGUAAAGCACUUUCAGUGAGGAAGAACGCCUGGUGGUUAAUACCCAUCAGGAAAGACAUCACUCACAGACGAAGCACCGGCUAACUCCGUGCCAGCAGCCGCGGUAAUACGGAGGGUGCGAGCGUUAAUCGGAAUUACUGGGCGUAAAGCGCGCGUAGGUGGCUUGAUAAGCCGGUUGUGAAAGCCCCGGGCUCAACCUGGGAACGGCAUCCGGAACUGUCAAGCUAGAGUGCAGGAGAGGAAGGUAGAAUUCCCGGUGUAGCGGUGAAAUGCGUAGAGAUCGGGAGGAAUACCAGUGGCGAAGGCGGCCUUCUGGACUGACACUGACACUGAGGUUCGAAAGCGUGGGUAGCAAACAGGAUUAGAUACCCCGGUAGUC
RNAcentral lists this ribosomal RNA (465 nucleotides) under Vreelandella stevensii. RNAcentral describes it as "partial 16S ribosomal RNA". It matches the Rfam family "Bacterial small subunit ribosomal RNA", at positions 338 to 795 of the family's 1533-position model. The record is from RNAcentral. Lineage: Bacteria; Pseudomonadati; Pseudomonadota; Gammaproteobacteria; Oceanospirillales; Halomonadaceae.